RNAcentral lists this transfer RNA (71 nucleotides) under Metoecus cf. javanus JL-2021a. Its description in RNAcentral is "tRNA-Lys". Lineage: Eukaryota; Metazoa; Arthropoda; Insecta; Coleoptera; Ripiphoridae. The record is from RNAcentral.
CAUUAGAUGGCUGAAAGUAAGCAAUGGUCUCUUAAACCAGUCAAUAGUAAAUUAACAUGUACUUCUAAUGA